GUGCAGCAGGCGAGAAUUUUUCUCAAUGGGGGAAACCCUGAAGGAGCGACGCCGCGUGGAGGAUGAAGGUCUUCGGGUUGUAAACUCCUGUCAUUUGAGAACAAGUGGCCGAACGUAACUGCUUCGGCCUUGAUAGUAUCAGAAGAGGAAGGGACGGCUAACUCUGUGCCAGCAGCCGCGGUAAUACAGAGGUCUCAGGCGUUGUUCGGAUUCAUUGGGCGUAAAGGGUGCGUAGGUGGCGCCGUAAGUCGGGUGUGAAAUUUCGGAGCUUAACUCCGAAACUGCAUUCGAUACUGCGGUGCUUGAGGACUGGAGAGGAGACUGGAAUUUACGGUGUAGCAGUGAAAUGCGUAGAGAUCGUAAGGAAGACCAGUGGCGAAGGCGGGUCUCUGGACAGUUCCUGACACUGAUGCACGAAGGCCAGGGGAGCAAACGGGAUUAGAUACCCGCGUAGU
This 455-nucleotide ribosomal RNA is filed under the name uncultured organism. RNAcentral's name for it is "bacterial SSU rRNA". It matches the Rfam family "Bacterial small subunit ribosomal RNA", at positions 346 to 794 of the family's 1533-position model. The record is from RNAcentral.